UACGAGAGGCCCAAACGUUAUUCGGAUUUACUGGGCUUAAAGAGUCCGUAGGCGGCGCAGUAAGUGGGGUGUGAAAGCCCUCGGCUUAACCGAGGAAUUGCGCUCCAAACUACUGUGCUUGAGGAAUCUAGAGGUGAGCGGAACUGAUGGUGGAGCGGUGAAAUGCGUUGAUAUCAUCAGGAACACCGGAGGCGAAGGCGGCUCACUGGGGAUUUUCUGACGCUGAGGGACGAAAGCCAGGGGAGCGAACGGG
This 253-nucleotide ribosomal RNA is filed under the name uncultured bacterium. RNAcentral describes it as "partial 16S ribosomal RNA". It matches the Rfam family "Bacterial small subunit ribosomal RNA", at positions 524 to 776 of the family's 1533-position model. The record is from RNAcentral.